UACGAAGGGGGCUAGCGUUGCUCGGAAUCACUGGGCGUAAAGCGCACGUAGGCGGAUUGCUAAGUCAGGGGUGAAAUCCUGGAGCUCAACUCCAGAACUGCCCUUGAUACUGGCGGUCUCGAGUCCGGGAGAGGUGAGGGGAACUGCGAGUGUAGAGGUGAAAUUCGUAGAUAUUCGCAAGAACACCAGUGGCGAAGGCGGCUCACUGGCCCGGUACUGACGCUGAGGUGCGAAAGCGUGGGGAGCAAACAGG
RNAcentral lists this ribosomal RNA (253 nucleotides) under uncultured bacterium. RNAcentral describes it as "partial 16S ribosomal RNA". It matches the Rfam family "Bacterial small subunit ribosomal RNA", at positions 524 to 776 of the family's 1533-position model. The record is from RNAcentral.